UGCCUUGGCUGUGUGAACUCACCUUGGUUUGCUCGGCAGAUACACAAGGAAUAUAAGUAGCAAGUAAAUGGUCACUCACGUCCUAUCAUGGUUAUUAUACGAGUCAGGUUCGUAUAUAGUACGUAUAUAGCAAUCACGUAUAGUCAUGGCAAACAUGUACGCACGUAAGCAGAUAAGACAUAGCAUGUGAGGAUCCAAUUGUCUAAGUCCAACAAUACCCGGCCCAAUAGCAUAAGCAGCCCAAUAACAAAACAGUCCAGAUUCUCAAUCGGCCCAAAUAGUAAACGUAUAUCGGUCCAAUAGCAAACAGUCCACAAUUCAAAUCGUUGGGCUCAAUAGAUUGGGCCCAUGACAGUGAAGGCCCAACAGUAUGGUAUUGGGUUACGUAGGCUUUACGUAACGUGUCCUCCCGACCCGGGAGACAUAUGGCAAAUAUACUGGGUUACGUAGGCUUUACGUAACGUGUCCUGACUAACCUGAGGACGAUGGUCUAUAGUCUGGUAUAUGCGUAAGUACGAGUAAUCAUUCCAUAUCCAACAUAUCCAACCCAAUUCCCAACCCGGGAAUCCCAUGCCUUGGCUGU
This 583-nucleotide long non-coding RNA is filed under the name Helianthus annuus (common sunflower). Lineage: Eukaryota; Viridiplantae; Streptophyta; Magnoliopsida; Asterales; Asteraceae. The record is from RNAcentral.